RNAcentral lists this ribosomal RNA (773 nucleotides) under uncultured Neocallimastigales. RNAcentral describes it as "partial large subunit ribosomal RNA". It matches the Rfam family "Eukaryotic large subunit ribosomal RNA", at positions 24 to 616 of the family's 3401-position model. The record is from RNAcentral. Lineage: Eukaryota; Fungi; Neocallimastigomycota; Neocallimastigomycetes; Neocallimastigales.
GUAGUCUCGCACAGAUGCAUAUCAAUAAGCGGAGGAAAAGAAACUAACAAGGAUUCCCCUAGUAACGGCGAGUGAAGCGGGAAGAGCUCAAAUUUGAAAUCUUAAAGGGUUUCCCUUUACGAAUUGUAGUUUAAAGAAGUGUUUUCUGUUGAGGUUUUGGUAAAAGUUCUUUGGAAUAGGACAUCAUAGAGGGUGAGAAUCCCGUAUUUGACCUUUACUUUCAACUUUGUGAUACACUUUCAAAGAGUCGGAUUGUUUGGGAAUGCAGUCCAAAAUGGGUGGUAAUUUCAUCUAAAGCUAAAUAUUGGCGAGAGACCGAUAGCGAACAAGUACCGUGAGGGAAAGAUGAAAAGAACUUUGAAAAGAGAGUUAAACAGUACGUGAAAUUGUCAAAAGGGAAGCGUUUGACACCAGUGUUGUUUUCUCGAAAAUCAAUUAAAAAGAGUUAGAUUUUGUUGUGUAUUGACCUUAACAGCUUGCAUUUCAAUUUUCUUGCUUUUUUUAAUGCACUUUUCGUUUAACAAGUCAACAUCAAUUUCUUUUGUUGUAAAGAGGUCAUUGGAAGGUGGCUUUCUUUUCGGAGAAAGUGUUUAUAGCCUUUGACUCCUGCAAUCGGAGAGACUGAGGUCUGCAGCGUAGAUCCUUCGGGGUUAGAUACAUUUGUGCUAAGUUAUAGCUUUUUAUAGACAACUUGUUGACUAUGACUAGUCUUGUAGCUUACUCGCUUAUGCUAUUUUACCUACGCUUAGGAUGUUGAGCGCAUGUCUCUCUCU